Molecule: transfer RNA, 91 nt
Filed under: bacterium
Lineage: Bacteria
Description: tRNA-Ser
Rfam family: tRNA
About the family: Transfer RNA (tRNA) molecules are approximately 80 nucleotides in length.
Source: RNAcentral
GGAGGCGUGUCAGAGUGGUCGAAUGAGCCGCACUCGAAAUGCGGUAAGCCCCAAAAGGGCUUCGGAGGUUCGAAUCCUCCCGCCUCCGCCA